Molecule: ribosomal RNA, 1391 nt
Filed under: Kocuria rosea subsp. polaris
Lineage: Bacteria; Bacillati; Actinomycetota; Actinomycetes; Micrococcales; Micrococcaceae
Description: bacterial SSU rRNA
Rfam family: Bacterial small subunit ribosomal RNA
Source: RNAcentral
CGACGAUGAUGCCCAGCUUGCUGGGCGGAUUAGUGGCGAACGGGUGAGUAAUACGUGAGUAACCUGCCCUUGACUCUGGGAUAAGCCUGGGAAACUGGGUCUAAUACUGGAUACUACCGUCCACCGCAUGGUGGGUGGUGGAAAGGGUUCUACUGGUUUUGGAUGGGCUCACGGCCUAUCAGCUUGUUGGUGGGGUAAUGGCUCACCAAGGCGACGACGGGUAGCCGGCCUGAGAGGGUGACCGGCCACACUGGGACUGAGACACGGCCCAGACUCCUACGGGAGGCAGCAGUGGGGAAUAUUGCACAAUGGGCGGAAGCCUGAUGCAGCGACGCCGCGUGAGGGAUGACGGCCUUCGGGUUGUAAACCUCUUUCAGUAGGGAAGAAGCGAGAGUGACGGUACCUGCAGAAGAAGCGCCGGCUAACUACGUGCCAGCAGCCGCGGUAAUACGUAGGGCGCAAGCGUUGUCCGGAAUUAUUGGGCGUAAAGAGCUCGUAGGCGGUUUGUCGCGUCUGCUGUGAAAGCCCGGGGCUCAACCCCGGGUCUGCAGUGGGUACGGGCAGACUAGAGUGCAGUAGGGGAGACUGGAAUUCCUGGUGUAGCGGUGAAAUGCGCAGAUAUCAGGAGGAACACCGAUGGCGAAGGCAGGUCUCUGGGCUGUUACUGACGCUGAGGAGCGAAAGCAUGGGGAGCGAACAGGAUUAGAUACCCUGGUAGUCCAUGCCGUAAACGUUGGGCACUAGGUGUGGGGGACAUUCCACGUUUUCCGCGCCGUAGCUAACGCAUUAAGUGCCCCGCCUGGGGAGUACGGCCGCAAGGCUAAAACUCAAAGGAAUUGACGGGGGCCCGCACAAGCGGCGGAGCAUGCGGAUUAAUUCGAUGCAACGCGAAGAACCUUACCAAGGCUUGACAUUCACCGGACCGCCCCAGAGAUGGGGUUUCCCUUCGGGGCUGGUGGACAGGUGGUGCAUGGUUGUCGUCAGCUCGUGUCGUGAGAUGUUGGGUUAAGUCCCGCAACGAGCGCAACCCUCGUUCUAUGUUGCCAGCACGUGAUGGUGGGGACUCAUAGGAGACUGCCGGGGUCAACUCGGAGGAAGGUGGGGAUGACGUCAAAUCAUCAUGCCCCUUAUGUCUUGGGCUUCACGCAUGCUACAAUGGCCGGUACAAAGGGUUGCGAUACUGUGAGGUGGAGCUAAUCCCAAAAAGCCGGUCUCAGUUCGGAUUGAGGUCUGCAACUCGACCUCAUGAAGUCGGAGUCGCUAGUAAUCGCAGAUCAGCAACGCUGCGGUGAAUACGUUCCCGGGCCUUGUACACACCGCCCGUCAAGUCACGAAAGUUGGUAACACCCGAAGCCGGUGGCCUAACCCCUUGUGGGAGGGAGCCGUCGAAG